Molecule: long non-coding RNA, 346 nt
Organism: Culex pipiens pallens (northern house mosquito)
Lineage: Eukaryota; Metazoa; Arthropoda; Insecta; Diptera; Culicidae
Exons: 3
Source: RefSeq, a predicted model, not a curated record
GCGCUUGCUGGUGUCCACCGGGGCCGUGAUGUUCGAGGUCGUGAUCCAGCCGCCUAUACAGUUUCCAUGUUCCGGGUGCGCGUUCCGUGACCGUUUCGGUGUUCCGACGAUGAGUAGUGGGUUGUUGUUUGAACUGCUGCUGCUGGAUGCCGUGCAAUAGGAGACGACCCGGGACCUGUACCAAGUCCUGAACGACCAGAGCCCCCCUUCGUCGGUGAUGAAUUUGGCAGCAGCAGCAUCCAGCGGGAGCAGAUUCUCCACUUACCUUCGGGGCUUUCGAUUGUCCGCGAGGUGGCAUUUUUGAACUGAUGGCCACCGACGCUCCACUUGAUCUCGGCUGGCGGGU